CCUUUUUUCACUUUUCAAGAAAAUACUGUAUGCUGAAGUUUUCUUUUUAGAAGUAGUCCUAGUGUCCCCAUUGACAGAGAUGGAAGCAGCUUCUGCACUAUGCAUUUGUGAACCCAACCUGGGAGUCUAGAGACCAACCUGGAUGUUCUCUAUUUGCAUGAGGUUUUUUUAAAUUACAGUUCAAUAAAAACCAUCUGACUUUAUAUGCAGUACUUUCCCCAGUUAAAUCCUCUGGAGGGAAACGUCACCCCUGGCUGACUAUCAGCCAUUAAGAUUGUUGAUAUCCAGUUGACAUGCAUGACGGACCUGGCCUAUACUCUCUUCCUUGGCACUAGGAUCAUCUACCCCGUCCCUGAUGGAGGACAGUGAUCAGGCGAAGCAAUGUGCUGUUUAGAACCCAAGGAAAUGAGUCUAAAACUGUUCUUAUGAGCCCCAGAUUUCUCCCUAUAUCCCUGACAGAUCUUAAGAGAAGUCUCUCCCCAGACUCCAUUAUGACUUUUGCGAGAGAGCUGGAAUCACCCAUGCACCCUUCAAUGGAAGCCAGAGAGACCUGCCUCCACUUCAUUUCAGGAAACCUCAACAUUGUUUCAUUUGUAAGAAAAUCCCAUAAAUACUUUCAUUCAGAAAAAAAGAAGUAUUUAUAAAAAUAGACAAUACCUUUGACAAUGCUCCUCAGAAAUGAAACUCAAGUAAUUUUGAAUAUUUUAAGAACACGAAGAUUUCUCUUUAAAGAACACACACAAAAAAAAACAAUGAGCCACUUAAAACUUGUCAGGUAUGCACACUUCCUAAGCAAGUUCAGGAGUUUAUAA
RNAcentral lists this long non-coding RNA (812 nucleotides) under Marmota monax (woodchuck). Lineage: Eukaryota; Metazoa; Chordata; Mammalia; Rodentia; Sciuridae. The record is from RNAcentral.